Molecule: unclassified non-coding RNA, 2320 nt
Filed under: Leishmania donovani
Lineage: Eukaryota; Euglenozoa; Kinetoplastea; Trypanosomatida; Trypanosomatidae
Description: gene:LdHU3.13.0380(CDS-product:alpha_tubulin)
Source: RNAcentral
CUCUUCGCUCUCGUUCUUCGAACAAACACCUUUAAACCGCCUUCUAACCCCUCUUUCUUCUUUUUCAGCCAUGCGUGAGGCUAUCUGCAUCCACAUCGGCCAGGCCGGCUGCCAGGUCGGUAACGCGUGCUGGGAGCUGUUCUGCCUUGAGCACGGCAUCCAGCCUGAUGGCUCCAUGCCCUCUGACAAGUGCAUCGGUGUUGAGGAUGACGCGUUCAACACGUUCUUCUCGGAGACUGGUGCUGGCAAGCACGUUCCUCGCUGCAUCUUCCUGGACCUCGAGCCUACGGUCGUGGAUGAGGUGCGCACCGGCACGUACCGCCAGCUGUUCAACCCCGAGCAGCUGGUGUCCGGCAAGGAGGAUGCGGCGAACAACUACGCUCGUGGCCACUACACCAUCGGCAAGGAGAUCGUCGACCUUGCGCUGGACCGCAUUCGCAAGCUGGCGGACAACUGCACGGGCCUCCAGGGCUUUAUGGUGUUCCACGCUGUGGGUGGCGGCACCGGCUCUGGCCUCGGUGCGCUGCUGCUGGAGCGCCUGUCUGUGGACUACGGCAAGAAGUCCAAGCUUGGCUACACCGUGUACCCGAGCCCGCAGGUGUCGACUGCCGUCGUGGAGCCGUACAACUGCGUGCUGUCGACGCACUCGCUGCUCGAGCACACCGAUGUUGCGACGAUGCUCGACAAUGAGGCCAUCUACGACCUCACUCGUCGUUCUCUCGACAUUGAGCGCCCGUCGUACACGAACGUGAACCGCCUGAUCGGCCAGGUGGUGUCGUCUCUGACGGCGUCGCUGCGCUUCGAUGGUGCGCUGAACGUGGACCUGACGGAGUUCCAGACGAACCUUGUGCCGUACCCGCGCAUCCACUUCGUGCUGACGAGCUAUGCUCCGGUGGUGUCUGCCGAGAAGGCGUACCACGAGCAGCUGUCCGUCGCGGACAUCACGAACUCGGUGUUUGAGCCUGCUGGCAUGCUGACGAAGUGCGAUCCUCGCCACGGCAAGUACAUGUCGUGCUGCCUCAUGUACCGCGGUGAUGUCGUGCCGAAGGAUGUCAACGCCGCGAUUGCGACGAUCAAGACGAAGCGGACAAUUCAGUUCGUGGACUGGUGUCCGACCGGCUUCAAGUGCGGCAUCAACUACCAGCCGCCGACCGUUGUGCCCGGCGGUGACCUCGCGAAGGUGCAGCGCGCCGUGUGCAUGAUUGCCAACUCGACCGCGAUCGCUGAGGUGUUUGCCCGCAUCGACCACAAGUUCGACCUGAUGUACAGCAAGCGCGCGUUCGUGCACUGGUACGUGGGUGAGGGCAUGGAGGAGGGCGAGUUCUCCGAGGCGCGCGAGGAUCUCGCUGCGCUGGAGAAGGACUACGAGGAGGUUGGCGCUGAGUCCGCCGACGACAUGGGUGAGGAGGACGUCGAGGAGUACUAAGGUACACUCGUGCCGCGCGCUGAUGUUGUAGGUGCACGCGCGCGUGUGCUGCAGCGGGGCCGCCGCCACUGCGACUGUGUGUGUGCGCGUGACGGCCGGCACGAGGAAGGAGGAGCGCGCGUGUGCGUGCGAUGCGCCUCCUCUUUUUUUUUUUCGCCCUCGUCGGUGUUUUUUUUUUCUGAGAGGACGGCGGGGCGGAUGGCGGGCGGCGGUGCUGACGGAGCGGCCACACUUUGCACCUCCCCGCCCUCCGCCGUCUCUCCGUUCGCCGUCCUCUCCUUCCUCGUGCGUGCGUCUGCCGCGCAUGCACACGCGCGCGCGUUGCCGUAGCGCUGUGUAUCUGUGGAGGGGGGCCUUGUCUCUCCCUCCCCGUGGUUGAUAGAUGAAGAGAAAGAAAAGGAGAGAGCAGUGCGCAUGUGCGCGCGUGUGUGCCUCCGCUCCCUGGAGCUCCCCACGAGUCCCCUCCGCCACGCACCUGCGAGCCUGCACAGCGGCCCACCCGCCCGCACACGUGAGCAGAGGUGGGUGGGUGGAGCGGGUGAUGUCGGCGCGCACACGCGCGCGCGCUGACCACUCCGACGUGAAAACACGGACGAGCGAGACUGGCAAGGCAAGGCAGGAAUCUGAUCACGUGUGCGCGCACACAAACGGAAUGAGCAGCUCCUGAAGAGACGAUGGGGCUCAUGCACACAGACACGCACGCGCACACUCCUCCGUCUUCACGGAGCGCGGCCCUGCUGCUGCUGCUGCUGCUGCCGCCAUGUGCCGGACGUCUGCCACGCGUGUCUUCCCCACACCUUGCUCUUUCCCUCCCCCCUCCCCUCCCCUCCUGGCGAACACAAAACAUGCGCGAUGCACACACGCGCACGCCCACCGAAAAAAAAAAACGCGCAG